This 1649-nucleotide long non-coding RNA is filed under the name Apteryx rowi (Okarito brown kiwi). RNAcentral's name for it is "lncRNA (ENSARWG00000004411.1)". The record is from RNAcentral. Lineage: Eukaryota; Metazoa; Chordata; Aves; Apterygiformes; Apterygidae.
UUCUAGCUACACAGCAAUGAAGACUGAAAUAAGUGAGCUAUUGUCAUGUGGGUACUGAUCAUUCCUCAGUAGAUCUGCUAGAGGCAACAUACUAGAACUGACAAAAUUAUCCUCUUUUUAUUUUAUGCUAAAAAUAUUUUAAAGGUAAUAUAUUUUAAAGUAAGAGAUUGUUCAGAGGCCAUUAAAAAGAUUUGUUUAAUUGCAAGAAACAUCUACCCAAACUUUAGCACAUUUACUUUUGUUAUGGAGCAGUUGAAAAAUAAAUUGUCACUUUCACUGUAAGUAUCCUGGUCAGAUUUGCUAUCAUCAUUUGUGUGCUGUUUCCAUAAUGAUUUCCUUUUAGUCAGGUAGGUAGGUAGUUAUUUUUAGCCAAUUUCCAUAUUUUUUUCCAUCAUACAAAAUACUUGGUUCUUCUUUUCAGCUAAACAUACCAUGCCUGUACAGGAGAUGAAUGGCAUUUCACAACCGGGGUAGUAGGAAGUUUCUUUAUAUAUUUUGUGAUCCAGAUACUUUGAGGAGGAAUUCAUCUGUUUUUACCUACAAGCUUCUUCUGAACUGUUUGUGUAAUGUUUCCAACCAGUCACGCCCAGCAGAGAUCACAGCAAAGACAACAAAUGCUGCAAGACUGACAGAAGAAGUGAAGUUAGUCAAGUAGUGACUGUCAGGAAAAACUGAAGUCUACAGAAGAAUGUACAGACACUGAUGCCCAGAAGACUGCUUUGUGCAUGAUGGCAGAGGCUGCUGUUAGAGCAACACCACUUUUUUUGUUAAAGGUAAUUAUGUAUCAGUGAAAAAAAUGACAGUUUUUUUUCUUUUUUUUGUAUUUCACCUAACAAUUACUGCCAUUUUGCAACAGACAAAUACAGCCCCCUGAGUUUAGUUAGUCACUUUGCUUUUUGCAGCCUGGUUAAUUUAACACUCUUGCUUUCUCUUGCAAGCCAACUCUGGCUAAUGUUUUCUUUGAAGUUAAAUUAAAUACUUAGAGAUUUCUGAACCUGUAUAGUUAAUUUAAGUAAACUUACGUGUUUCCAUAUUUCUCCAGUCCUCUCAAUUACAACAGUUUGUGAUUUAUUGACCGGUGAUGUAAUCUUGUAGUCAUCAGACAAGAGACCUAGAAUUGGAUACUGAUUCCUGUACCUGUAUUAAAAGAGUUGCAAUCCUGUAAAAUAUAACACUAAAAUCUGCAUACCUAUAUCCAAAUCAUGAACUUUAUAAUUCUUCUAGUUUAGUUUUUAAUUUAAUUUAGUUAUCAAUCCCCAAAUAUUUUUACUAGUAACUAAAAAACUAAUACUGUCAUUUAAAUAUCAGUUUGACAUACUGGUUACUCUCCAAUUGCUGUUACAAUGCUUAGUAGGAAUAUCUGUACUGAAUCCAUCCUAGAUAGGUUUUCCUAGUUUGACUUUUUCUCCUAAAAGCUGAGUAGAUAGUGUUAAGAAAUUUGAAGGAUGUAAGGACUUAAUUAACAGAAGCUACACAAUGGAAAUCAAAAGAAUGUAUUUUUAGGAAAAGUGAAUAGCUACAUUACUUCUUAGUGAUGAUGGCUGUUACACCAGGGGACUGACUGCAUGAUAAUCUCUCUUGCUUCAAUCUGAAGAGGUCCUGAGAAAACCAAAAAUAAACAUUCAAAUGAAGUAAUAUUUGCUAAUUGA